Molecule: ribosomal RNA, 123 nt
Filed under: Pteropus alecto (black flying fox)
Lineage: Eukaryota; Metazoa; Chordata; Mammalia; Chiroptera; Pteropodidae
Source: RNAcentral
GUCUACGGCCAUGUCACCCUGAACAAGCCCGAUCCUGGGAGUCUGAUCUCGGAAGCUAAUCAGGGUUGGGCCUGGUUAGUACUUGGAUGGGAGACCACCUAGGAAGACCAGGUGCUGUAGGCA